GUUAUGCCUGUUUGGUUUUAGGUUGGGGUGACCACGGAGUAUAAAACAACCUCCAUGAAAAAAGGACCAAAAAUCCUUAUUAGAGAAAGACAUUUCUAAAAUUAAUAAAUUAAUUUUUAAUGAUCCGAUAUUCGAUCAACGAACCAAGUUACCCUGGGGAUAACAGCGCAAUCCACUUCAAGAGCUCCUAUCGACAAGUGGGUUUACGACCUCGAUGUUGGAUCAGGGUAUCCUAGUGGUGCAGCAGCUACUAACGGUUCGUUUGUUCAACGAUUAA
This 277-nucleotide ribosomal RNA is filed under the name Boophis elenae. Its description in RNAcentral is "partial 16S ribosomal RNA". It matches the Rfam family "Bacterial large subunit ribosomal RNA", at positions 2251 to 2591 of the family's 2925-position model. The record is from RNAcentral. Lineage: Eukaryota; Metazoa; Chordata; Amphibia; Anura; Mantellidae.